Long non-coding RNA from Sabethes cyaneus, 1060 nucleotides. RefSeq lists it as uncharacterized. Lineage: Eukaryota; Metazoa; Arthropoda; Insecta; Diptera; Culicidae. The record is from RefSeq and is a predicted model, not a curated record. The transcript has 5 exons.
UUCGUUCUUGAUCAAUGGAUCCGUUAAUGCCACCUGGCAGAUGUCUGUGUCAGUAGUGAACACCAGAUCAAGAAAGCAAUUGUUGUUGUUUACAAUAUUGCAUACUUGCAUCAGCCCAGCAGCGAGAAAACUAUCAACAAUAGCUAUCUCGGUUUGUGAAGUAAUUUGUUCGGGUUAAAAUCACCGACAACGAUAACUUCGUCUUCCGGACUAAUGCUUACAACUAUGGACUCAAUAAAAAGACAAAACGAGCGAUAACGAUCGAUACCAGAGCCACUGCGUAUUCUGUGCUGGCGAUGCUAUUUCGGACGGCAAUCAGAACACCACCGCCAGAGGUUUUUUCACUAUUGAAGGCAUUUCUAUCACAACGGUAUACACGAAAGGCGGAAGAAAACAAUGAACCAUCCAGUACAGUUGCAUCCAGGUUUUCGUGUCAUUGAUACUAUAGGACUAGUGACGGUCAAAUUUGGUUCCAACUCAGGAUCGUUAUUACUACUGUGUAUUGGCAAGGGGUGUAAGAAAGUUUUCUGGAUUGGACUCAUUAUCUCUGAUAUUUUGAAAUGUGUUUGUUCGAGGUUCACUUAUGAAUUCGCGGAAAUAAAUACCAGUUUGCCAGCUCGAGGGCUGCAUCGCCUUUUCUUUGAAAGCGAUAUCGAUUCCCACCUUAAAUGACACGUAUGUCAUUUGGCUCAAAUCAGCACCAUUGCGGACUAAUUUAAUGACUUGGACGGGGCCCUCCAGCUCCAGAUUCUGCUGUACUAGUGUAGAAAUCUCCUCCACAGUGGCUUGUGGGGAGAAUCUAGACAGAAACAGCCAGAAUUUAUUUACUCGAGGGGGCAGCGGUACGAUCGGAAUAGAUGAACCCUGCGGUGGCUCUUUAUUCCCACAAAGCAUUCGAACGGCAUUUGUUUCUUCGUGUGGGAGAUCUACAAGAAUGCGAGGACGCUUAGGCGCUCUACCCUCUGACCCGGGAAUCACUUUGGGAGUUGAAGGCGUAACGGGAAUUUUUCGCGUAAUUCGAUUAAUCAUGUUUGCAUUUUUCUUGAUUUCAUCUCUUAAU